AACGAACGCUGGCGGCAUGCCUAACACAUGCAAGUCGAACGAGACCUUCGGGUCUAGUGGCGCACGGGUGCGUAACGCGUGGGAACCUGCCCUUAGGUUCGGAAUAACUCCCCGAAAGGGGUGCUAAUACCGGAUAAUGUCUUCGGACCAAAGAUUUAUCGCCUUUGGAUGGGCCCGCGUUGGAUUAGCUAGUUGGUAGGGUAAAAGCCUACCAAGGCGACGAUCCAUAGCUGGUCUGAGAGGAUGAUCAGCCACACUGGGACUGAGACACGGCCCAGACUCCUACGGGAGGCAGCAGUGGGGAAUAUUGGACAAUGGGCGAAAGCCUGAUCCAGCAAUGCCGCGGGAGUGAUGAAGGCCUUAGGGUUGUAAAGCUCUUUUACCCGGGAUGAUAAUGACAGUACCGGGAGAAUAAGCCCCGGCUAACUCCGG
RNAcentral lists this ribosomal RNA (432 nucleotides) under uncultured bacterium. RNAcentral's name for it is "partial 16S ribosomal RNA". It matches the Rfam family "Bacterial small subunit ribosomal RNA", at positions 29 to 506 of the family's 1533-position model. The record is from RNAcentral.